AGAUUGAACGCUGGCGGCAUGCCUUACACAUGCAAGUCGAGCGGCAGCGCGGGGGCAACCCUGGCGGCGAGCGGCGAACGGGUGAGUAAUGCAUCGGAACGUGUCCUUUUGUGGGGGAUAACCAGUCGAAAGACUGGCUAAUACCGCAUGAGCUCGUAAGAGGAAAGCAGGGGACCCGCAAGGGCCUUGCGCGAGAGGAGCGGCCGAUGCCCGAUUAGCUAGUUGGUAGGGUAAAGCCCACCGAAGGCGACGAGUCGGUAGCUGGUCUGAGAGGACGACCGAGCCACACUGGGACUGAGACACGGCCCAGACCUCCGUACGGGAGGCAGCGAGGUGGGGUAAUUUUGGAACAAGUGGGGGACCAACCCGUGACUCCGAGACCAUCGCCGCGUGUGUAGGAAGAACGGUCCGUUACGGGUUAGUAACGCGUACUUACGGAACGGAACGAACG
Molecule: ribosomal RNA, 451 nt
Filed under: uncultured soil bacterium
Lineage: Bacteria
Description: bacterial SSU rRNA
Rfam family: Bacterial small subunit ribosomal RNA
Source: RNAcentral